AUAGCGUAUAUUAACGUUGUUGCAGUUAAAAAGCUCGUAGUUGAAGUGUGGGUGAUCGCURUUGUGAGACUUCGGUCUCUCGAYAGUAAGUCACCCCCUUCCAGUAUCCAGUAGUGGGUAUUCAGUUACUUACUAUUGUGUGUUGGUCGUUUACUGUGAGAAAAUUAGAGUGUUCAAAGCAGGCGUUUGCUUGAAUAGAUUAGCAUGGAAUAAUAAUUGAAGGCUUUCGUGUUCGAUUUGAUUGGUUUGUUCAUGGAAGCAAGGUUAAAAGGAACAGUUGGGGGUAUUCAUAUUCACUAGUUAGAGGUGAAAUUCUCGGAUUUAUGGAAGAUGAACAAGUGCGAAAGCAUUUACCAAGGAUGUUUUCAUUAAUCAAGAACGAAAGCUAGGGGAUCGAAGAGGAUUAGAUACCCUCGUAGUCUUAGCUAUAAACGAUACCGACUAGGGGUUAGUAGAGGUCAAAGUGUCUUUAUUAGUACCUUAUGAGAAAUCAAAGUCUUUGGGUUCCGGGGGGAGUAUGGUCGCAAGGCUGAAACUUA
This 539-nucleotide ribosomal RNA is filed under the name Blastocystis sp. ATCC 50752. RNAcentral describes it as "SSU rRNA". It matches the Rfam family "Eukaryotic small subunit ribosomal RNA", at positions 596 to 1157 of the family's 1831-position model. Lineage: Eukaryota; Bigyra; Opalinata; Blastocystidae. The record is from RNAcentral.